GAUGAAGAACGUAGCGAAAUGCGAUAAGUAAUGCGAAUUGCAGAAUUCCAGUGAGUCAUCGAAUCUUUGAACGCACAUUGCGCCCUUUGGUAUUCCGAAGGGCAUGCCUGUUCGAGCGUCAUUAUCACCCCUCAAGCCCUCGGCUUGGUGUUGGACGGUUUGGUGGAGGCCCCCUCGGGGGCUCCUGCCCCUCCCAAAGACAAUGACGGCGGCCUCGUUGGACCCCCGGUACACUGAGUUCUUCACGGGACACGUAUCUGACACAUGGGUUUACGGGACACGGUCUGCCUCCCCUCAGGGAGAAUCUUUCUAAGGUUGACCUCGGAUCAGGUAGGGAUACCCGCUGAACUUAAGCAUAUCAAUAAGCGGAGGA
Molecule: unclassified non-coding RNA, 373 nt
Filed under: soil metagenome
Description: partial contains 5.8S ribosomal RNA, internal transcribed spacer 2, and large subunit ribosomal RNA
Rfam family: 5.8S ribosomal RNA (bases 1-121)
Source: RNAcentral